UAUGGCAAAGGAGUAGCACACUGCUCAGUAACACGUAGCUAACCUACCCUUGGGAUGGUGAUAACCCCGGGAAACUGGGGUCAAUAACCAAUAGAUAUGGAUGCCUGGAAUGGUUCCAUAUUGAAAUGUUUGUACACCCAUGUCGUGUACAUACACCUGAGGAUGGGGCUGCGGCCGAUCAGGCUGUUGGUGAGGUAACGGCUCACCAAACCUUUGACCGGUACGGGCCAUGAGAGUGGUAGCCCGGAGAUGGGCACUGAGACAAGGGCCCAGGCCCUACGGGGCGCAGCAGGUACGAAACCUCCACAAUUCACGCAAGUGAGAUGGGGUUACCUCGAGUGCCGCCUGAAUAAGGUGGCUUUUCCGCUGUGUAACAAGCUGUGGGAAUAAGGGGGGGGCAAGACUGGUGUCAGCCGCCGCGGUAACACCAGCCCCCCGAGUGGUGGGGAUGUUUAUUUGGCCUAAAGCGUCCGUAGCCGGCUCUGUAAAUCUCUCGUUAAAUCCAGCGUCCUAAGCGUUGGGCUGCGAGGGAGACUGCAGAGCUAGAGGGUGGGAGAGGUCGGCGGUAUUUCUGGGGUAGGGGCGAAAUCCAUUGAUCCCAGGAGGACCACCAGUGGCGAAGGCUGCUGACUUGAACACGCCUGACGGUGAGGGACGAAAGCUGGGGUAGCGAAUCAGAUUAGAUACCCGAGUAGUCCCAGCCGU
This 705-nucleotide ribosomal RNA is filed under the name uncultured archaeon. Its description in RNAcentral is "bacterial SSU rRNA". It matches the Rfam family "Archaeal small subunit ribosomal RNA", at positions 66 to 754 of the family's 1478-position model. The record is from RNAcentral.